GUGAAGAUCUAAAAAAACAGAUCUGAGAUUGAUACCAGAUUACCAGAUUUGUCUGUUAGUUGGAGGUCAGUGUGAAAUUCUAUGAUCGAUUUCAUGCAAUCUUAGAAAAAAUAGAGUAUCCUACCUAUUAGAAACUCUCAAAAAUUCUAAAACUUAGAAAAAAUAGAGUAUCCUACCUAUUAGAAACUCUCAAAAAUUCUAAAAUUUAGUUUUCUGAAAUCCUCAC
This 226-nucleotide long non-coding RNA is filed under the name Elaeis guineensis (African oil palm). Its description in RNAcentral is "long non-coding RNA (EGUI_LNC018163)". The record is from RNAcentral. Lineage: Eukaryota; Viridiplantae; Streptophyta; Magnoliopsida; Arecales; Arecaceae.